Non-coding RNA from Podarcis lilfordi (Lilford's wall lizard), 69 nucleotides. NCBI's taxonomy places the organism in Eukaryota, Metazoa, Chordata, Lepidosauria, Squamata, Lacertidae. The record is from the annotation of a GenBank genome assembly.
GCUGUAGCUCAGUUGUAUAGCAUCAGCCCUGUAUGCGGGAGAUCGCGAGUUCAAUCCCCGGCAUCUCCA